Molecule: RNA transcript, 4625 nt
Organism: Hirundo rustica (Barn swallow)
Lineage: Eukaryota; Metazoa; Chordata; Aves; Passeriformes; Hirundinidae
Gene: SHISAL1
Gene name: shisa like 1
Exons: 7
Source: RefSeq, a predicted model, not a curated record
AGGAGGUGGCAGCAGCUUCUGUGCAUCGGUGGUGCCUCGUCCCCGCGCUCGCCGGCUGAAGCGCGGUGCUCUGCUCCCCGGGGUCGGAGGUGCCACCGCUGCCGUCCCCGGCCGCACGCCGGAGCCGCGCUCUCCUUCGUGGAUUCGCCGUGCAACUAUCGGGAAAAGUGGCUGUGCGCGGGCAGCGACUUAGCGCAAGGCAUUUAUCAGCCAGUCGGAGACCUUCAAAAGGCAAGGUAAUUCUCUAAUGGACCAAUGAAAGCCAACGAUGACAAGUUGUGGUCAACAGUCCUUGAAUGUGCUGAUGGUUCUGCUCUCAUUACUCUUGUCAGCAGUGUUGUCCGCGCAUUUCCGGGUCUGCGAGCCGUACACGGACUACAAAGGUCGCUACCACUUUGGUUUCCACUGCCCCCGUCUUUCCGACAAUAAAUCUUACAUCUUUUGCUGUCACCAUAACAACACAGUGUUUAAAUAUUGCUGCAAUGAGACAGAAUUUCAGACUGUCAUGCAGAUGAACUUAACAGGGAAUGCAGAUGGAUAUAUGCAUAACAACUACAGCGCACUGUUGGGGGUGUGGAUCUAUGGCUUUUUUGUGGUGAUCUUACUGAUACUGGACCUUUUAUAUUACUCUUCAAUGAACUAUGAUAUUUGCAAAUUCUACCUGGCCCGCUGGGGAAUCCAGGGGAAGUGGAUGACACAGGGACAGAGCCGAUGGAUUAACCCUGCUCAGGACCCAAGACAGACACAGCCUCAGCCAGAGACACAGGCUCAAACUCAGCCUCAGCCUCGGACAUCACAGACAGUACACACUUUAAAAGGAGAUGCUUUAAGCCCACCCCUGGUGUCUUUUCAGAGUACAUCUGCCUGAACUGGGAAGGAAGAAGAAGAUAAAACAAGAGAAGAGUCUCUGAAGUAAGAUGCCAUUGCUUUCGCCUUGGAAAAUGAACUCCCAGUGUAUAUUUUGGAUGUUGAAGAACAAGUAACUCCCUAAAGUCGAGGAGGAACGAGCAGAAAAUUAUAUUGAUGUGCCUCAAGAUGGGAGAGGUAAGACCAGACUUCAAGGAGCAGCUUUCAAGAAAAUCAACGAAAUUACAAGAGCUGAAAAAAUUAUGGAUAAGCAGGAGAGAGAAGGACUAUGAGAGGAAGACUGAGCAAGUCACUUGAAGACGGACACCAUUCAAACAACUUCUACAGGCAAAUGAUAUAGAAAGAGUCUCCAGGAGAAAGUAGUCUGUAAGCAAUAUUUUAAUUCUAGACUGACACUAUUAUCUCUGAAAGGAAGCAUCAUGUUUGUGAAAAUGCUCAAUAGGAAGAAAAUUAAGUUGCUCUGGCAAAUCCACACAAAGCUGAAAAAUGACCACAAGACAAACCUUUGGUAGAUAACUUUUCUUUGCCUCCCCAUCCAUCAAUUGCCAUUUGAGCCUAAUCUCAGCCUAAGUGUCAGAAUCCUGAAUGUGAGUUUUCCCAAAGUUCUCUGGUGAACAUUUUGUCACAGCAGGGUAGAUGCUGGCAAUCCAUAUCCCUGUUAACCAUACUGUCCUAUGCAUUGCAAAGGUCAGCAGAGCCCUUUCAGUGAGUCAGACUGCAGGGUAGCAAUCACUUCAACCAUAAUGCACAUUUUUAGAUCACUGGCAAUGAUUCUGCUAAGACAUCCGAGUCCAUCUUAAAUUCAGGUUCUUGAAGAACUUUAUUAGGAUGCAACACCAUCCCACCCCCAUACUCUUUGAAGCUGAAAGAGAAACAGGAAAAAAAAAACAGAACAAAAAACAAACUGUAUUUCAAAAGCAAUAAUGCCACUGUCCCCUUGCCAAUGACUGGCUGCAGAGUUUACCCCAUACAAGUCUCAGAAUCCAUUUGUAAGCCAGAAAGGCAAUGACUGCCACACCAGUAUGUGGAGCACUUGAUCACUGGGUUGCAAUAGGUUGAUGUAACUUUCCACAGGAUGGGGUUGUUUUAAAAUCAUACAGUAUCAACCACGUAGACAAAUCCUGUGAAAUUUGGUUAUUUAAGAUAUUUGCAUGGAGAACCUGGCAAUGACAGCCAGACAGAGGAGUUCAUCUGGAAAUCAUAACACAAGGCCAUGAUAAUGCCAAUUUAAUCCUUCAUGUCUAAUAUUUUGUCCUGCAAAUCUCAGUAACUUUAAAAUAACCAUACAUUUUACCCCAUAACCACAACAUGAGGAACACCUCGUUAAUGAAUAAUAAAAUGUUCCCUUUUUAGCUCUUCGGCUGAAUGAAUUUUAGUCUUCUGUUGAACUCAAAGGGGACACUCUUCUCAGUGAUUUGAGUUAGCUCACAGCUACUGGAGUUCAGGAUGGUAUGUAACUAAAACUAUAAAGGAAUAAAUAGUGUUGGAGGACCCAAUGAGGCUGAAAACCACAGGAGUGGAAGCCCAGUCUUCAAAUAAAUCUCAAUAUGAGCAGCAUACCAACAUGCACGUCCCCCUUUUCUCUGUAAACGAACAACUAAACGUGCUGGGUAACACUGAGUAAGGGCAGGCAGUGCCUAAAAGAACGAACUCACAGGCAGGAGUGCCGCCCUGCAGGCAUUAAAUUCCAUCCUGAAAGCUUGAACCUGGCCCACUCUCACUCAUCACAGAAGCUCCUGCACACCCUGCCAGCCUGUAGGGAGCUGCCGCAGUGCAGCUGGGGUGUUACACCUGUGUCACACCUUAAGAACUCUCCAAGAAAAGCAAAGGAAACCGAGUAGCUGGAGGUGAUGACACCCAUGCCAGCAUCUUGCCUCCUCCACACUUCCUCGUUGGCUCCAAGAUCUAUAACACCUGCAGACACCCCAAAAAAGUAUCCACAGUCACCAGUGUGGCGCUGUGCAGUAACUGCUUGGUCCUUUUACCUUCUCCCAGCACCUGCUUUCAUUGUGAGGUGAUGACUGCCACAGAGAGCUUUGGAAAAAGCUUAUGUUCAUAAAGGAAUUUGUAUUAGAUACUGGUUUGUGUGACUUACUGUAUUUUGUAAGGGUUUUUUUCCCUUUGGGAAUUGUGCGUUAUUAAUGAGCAGUUUUAUGCUUUACUUCUAGUACACGUAUACCUUGUAAUGGAUGUGCUUUUUGUUUGUUUGUUUUCUUUUAUUCUCUAUACAGAGCCAGUUAAUAUAAGGUAGAUACUCUCUGGCUGAAAUUCUGAAUUUGCCUACCAAUUAAUUUAUGGAUAAAUCCAUGUCGUAGCUGGUGAGGAAUUUUUCAUCACUUGUGUUGUUAUAAUCACCUGAUAGUCUCUCUACUUGGGCAGAAUAAAAGAUCCUGAAUAAGACUAAUUCUAGCUGGGCCUUAAAUUUAAGGGAAAUAGUGUACUACAUAUUUCCCUACAACCAUUUCUAUCAGCCCUUCUUCCUUGGUGUUGGGACACUGGAGAAGAGCACUGGCUACACAAACAGCCACCUGAACAUCUCAGCCACCUCUGUAGCUCUGCUCUGAUAUCCCCCUGCAUUUACUUGAUCAAAAUUACGAUGGCCCAGAUAAACUGCAAUGAGUUUUUCAGUUUUUUCUGCAGAGAGACUGGUUCAAAUGCAAUCCUUCUCUAAAAAGAAAUGAUCUGGACUAAAAUAAUUGUAUUUUCCUCUAUGUCCAUCCUGAUAUGUUUGGAAAAAUAAGGGAUCUGAAAUAAACACUCACAAGAGUGAAUACUUUAUACCCCCUAUGUGACAAUGGCAGCUAUCUCAGUGGCUAUUAGUGACCUUCCUGCUCCAGAAGCCUCUUCCUCUGUCCAAAUAAUUUCCUCUCUUCUGUUUCACUGAGAACCGUGUCCAACUCCUUAGUAAUUGCUGUGUAUAACGUAGGACAUCAAAAGAUAAGUUGUAAAGUUUGUGCAGGACUUGGUGUUGUAGUUUAACCAUCUUUCGUGCCUGGUUAUGGAUUUUACAAAAAACAGAGUGAAAAUAAUCUGGCCUCUUAAUGUAUAAUUCAGCAUAUUGUAGCAGCUAUUUUAGACACCUGUUUUUUAUAGUUUUACUACAGCUGUGAUUUCUGUAUGAGGACUGUCUGCUCAAGAAGCGGUGAAGUCAACACGUCAAAAUGAUUUUCUAAAGUCAGUUCUGUUCUGCCGCCUGUGAUUGUGUAUGGAGAGUAAAGCAACAAAAACAAAACCUCAGCCCCUGGCUGGGAGGAAACACCUUUUCUCAGCCUCAGAAUUUCCCUUCUGUAAGACAGGCAUUUCUUCUAGUCCUCCUUUUACAAAAGUAGUAAAUUACUAAGAAGAUCAUAUAUAUACAGUACAAUAGUCUAUUUUGAUAGUCAGCAGACUAUUUUAGGCUAAUUAAGCUAACUAGAAAUUCUAGGGUUGCAGUGAUUUCUCUUUAUUGAUACAUCAAUGAUAAUACUGUUUACAUAACACUUGAUGUUUGAAAUCAAUACGUGCCAGUGUCCAGUGAUUUGCUAAUCUAGUUUCUGGUCUAAUCCUGUCCUAUUUUUUGCAGCAUUCUCUGACUUCAUAUUAUGAAUCAUGUCGUCUUUCUACGGUGAUUGCCAAGUAAACCAAAAAUGUGUUUUACACUGCUAUUGCACUGCUCUCGUCUUUAUAUACAGUAGUUUUUAUAAAGAUGUCCUUAGGUUUUAAUAAAUGAGUGUAACGCAAACCAAUCUCUGUAAUAAAACUUGCUUUGGUGUUCCAAA